Molecule: ribosomal RNA, 482 nt
Filed under: uncultured bacterium
Lineage: Bacteria
Description: partial 16S ribosomal RNA
Rfam family: Bacterial small subunit ribosomal RNA
Source: RNAcentral
AUUGAACGCUGGCGGCAUGCUUUACACAUGCAAGUCGAACGGUAACAGGCCGCAAGGUGCUGACGAGUGGCGAACGGGUGAGUAAUGCAUCGGAACGUGCCCAGUCGUGGGGGAUAACUACUCGAAAGAGUAGCUAAUACCGCAUACGAUCUAUGGAUGAAAGCGGGGGACCGUAAGGCCUCGCGCGAUUGGAGCGGCCGAUGUCAGAUUAGGUAGUUGGUGGGGUAGAGGCUCACCAAGCCAACGAUCUGUAGCUGGUCUGAGAGGACGACCAGCCACACUGGGACUGAGACACGGCCCAGACUCCUACGGGAGGCAGCAGUGGGGAAUUUUGGACAAUGGGCGCAAGCCUGAUCCAGCAAUGCCGCGUGCAGGAAGAAGGCCUUCGGGUUGUAAACUGCUUUUGUACGGAACGAAACGGCUCUGGUUAAUACCCGGGGCUAAUGACGGUACCGUAAGAAUAAGCACCGGCUAACUACGUG